Molecule: ribosomal RNA, 200 nt
Filed under: uncultured Glomus
Lineage: Eukaryota; Fungi; Glomeromycota; Glomeromycetes; Glomerales; Glomeraceae
Description: partial small subunit ribosomal RNA
Rfam family: Eukaryotic small subunit ribosomal RNA
Source: RNAcentral
CCAAUAGCGUAUAUUAAAGUUGUUGCAGUUAAAAAGCUCGUAGUUGAAUUUCGGGACUAAUAUGUCGGUCGUGCCUCGGUACGUACUGGUUUAUUGGUUUCUCCUUUCUGAAGAACCAUGAUGUCAUUUAUUUGGUGUCGUGGGGAAUCAGGACUGUUACUUUGAAAAAAUUAGAGUGUUUAAAGCAGGCUCACGCUUGA